This 232-nucleotide long non-coding RNA is filed under the name Lathyrus oleraceus (garden pea). RNAcentral's name for it is "Pisum sativum (pea) long non-coding RNA (PSAT_LNC033920)". The record is from RNAcentral. Lineage: Eukaryota; Viridiplantae; Streptophyta; Magnoliopsida; Fabales; Fabaceae.
CAUCUCUUUUUCUUAGGCAUAAUACUUUCUGACUGCAUCAGAAUUGACGGGGUGUGUCAACUCUUCUCCGUCCAUGUUCGUGAGAACUAAAGCUCCACCAGAGAAAGCUUUCUUCACCACAAAUGGUCCUUCAUAGUUUGGAAUCCACUUGCCACGUGAAUCCUUAUGGAGGGAGAUUAUCUUUUUCAAAACUAGUUCACCUACAUUAAACUCUCGAGGUCGAACCUUCUUG